AUUCCACUUUCAUAUAACAGAGUACACCCCAAAGGAGUGACAAUUGAGAACACAAGGAGCUUUGGCUUCCAAAUAUGUCUAACGCACUUUGUGUUCUCAGGUCACCCCUUUGGGGCUUCCUGUUUACAUGGCAUGACAACACACCAUUGUAAGAGAGAAAGAGAACCCAAGAAAACCAAAAUCCCAGAUGUUCAGGAUAACAUUUUCAUGUAUCAGAGUACACCCCAUAAGGGUGACACCUGAGAGCACAACUAGUGUUGGCUACUCUAAUGUAAAGCUAAUGCAGUUUGUGUUCUCAGGUCACCCUUAAUGGGGCACUAUGUUUACCUGAAAUCUCAAAUUGAAGUUUUUAGAGCCAUUUUUUUAAUGAAUGAAAAGGGGUCUUCGGAGUGGACUCAUCGACUCCUUCCCACAUGACGUUUCAGCAGGAUUCAACCAAAACGCGCUUCAUGCCACACGUUCCUAGAGACCAAUAGGAGUCUGAUAUUGCAGAGACAUCGUGUCAAUAUUUAAUUUAAAUCAUGAAAUGGCUUCAUUUGAAAUGAUGCGGAUCAGUUUCCUCAAAUUUUCACCAAACCCUCAUGCUUUUUAAUAUUGCUUAGUAGAUAUUAUUAUUAAAUGAACUAAAACUUAUGAUUAUAAGCUAUGACAAAUGUGGACCACAUGUUAUGAUUAUGAAGCCAUCAUGUUGACAUUCCAGAUGGGUUUUCUAUUUUAUAAUUUAAUUGUAUAUCAUCACUUAAAAUUAAAAUAGUGACAGUCUAUGUUAAAGUUAAGAUUUCAUUCCUUCUAUAUAACAGUACAUAUGACAUCAUGCCAUUUAAAAUUUUAAUUAAUGUAACUCUAAAUAUAUUUUUAAAUUUAUAAUAUUUAAUCUCACUUUUACUUUUCUCAAUUCAACAAGUUUAUAGGUACCCAAAAAUUCACAAAAAAAAUUCAAAUACUCUCUUAUCUUUGUAGUGGUCAAAGAUCUUGUAGUUGAAUUAGUACCUUUCCAUAGACAAAGUGCUUGAAGAAUUGGGAGAAAAAGGUUUGAGAUGUAGAUUGGUGGGAUAUUGUAAUUAUCUCUUAAUAUAUAUAUAUAUAUAUAUAUAUAUUUAUACUGUGGUGGACCUACGUGAGGUGAGCCGACAAGUUUAUGUAAGUGAUUGUGAAAUUUUAGUGAGUUUUCUUUUGUCGGUAGACUUGUCAAUGUUGUCAUACCUAAUAUUCUAACCUGACUUGCAAUAAUGAAUCGUUUAUCAAAUAAGGGCAAUCAGGAAUAGUGGGGCUAUGGAGAUGUCAACUUUUGUCAAAAACUCAAAGAUGUAACUUGUAAAGGCAGGCAUGACUAAUCUUUUAUAUGAUUAUGGCAUCUUCUUUUUGUCAAGAACUCACGAAGGAAGAGAGAGGAUUUCGGGUUUAUCACAACUUUAGAGGCUUGUAAUAAUGUUGUUCUCAUAUAAUCUCAUGUAAUUAUGCUGCUCAAGUUUUGGCUGGGUUUGCAAAGGAGAAAGAGGAGGAACUCAUUUUGUUAGAGGAGGGUCCUCAUCUCUUCUUCCCAUUAUAUAAAGAGAUUCAGUGAAAUAAAACUGCUACUGUAUUCUAUA
Quercus robur (English oak) is the source of this 1589-nucleotide long non-coding RNA. RefSeq lists it as uncharacterized. NCBI's taxonomy places the organism in Eukaryota, Viridiplantae, Streptophyta, Magnoliopsida, Fagales, Fagaceae. The record is from RefSeq and is a predicted model, not a curated record. The transcript is spliced from 2 exons.